Cordylochernes scorpioides is the source of this 71-nucleotide non-coding RNA. Lineage: Eukaryota; Metazoa; Arthropoda; Arachnida; Pseudoscorpiones; Chernetidae. The record is from the annotation of a GenBank genome assembly.
UUCUCUGGUGGGGAUUUGAACCCCAGUUGCCCAUGGGACAGCGGGAAUACUAACCACUAUACUACCAAGUA